AUGUUUCUGUCCGGCAUGAAAGCAGAUUGGGACGGCUGCACCACGGAAUGCGCAAUCUGUGUAAGCCUUAGUCCCAACUUUGGUGAAGAUUAUAAAGGUAACAUUAAGAAGACAGAUCGGCCUAAAUUGCUCAAUCCUCACAGCCUCUGUUUUCUUAGGAAGCAGAGUGAUAGUACCGAAAUUCAAGUGAAACAACUGCAACUGACCCAAGAAAAGAUCCUGGAACAUCGGAAGCAAGUCCCCCUUAAUGAUGUGCCAACACUUUUUCUAAAACUCCGCCGGAAAACCAUCCGGUCCUGGAGCUUUAUUAUUUUUCAUUUGGGAAAUUGCUUCAAACACCUCUUUCUCCGAAAAAGCGGCCAAGUGUUCUGCUACGCCCAUUCUUUGCCCGGAGCCAGUGACCGAGGCGAUUGGUGCACCGCUAUCCUGCCCCAUUUCGUCCUUCCCCAUCAAAUACCUUGGGCUCCCCUUGUCUGCGCAAAGCUUCUUCCACUGACCUCAUGCCCCUGGUCAACAAGCUCUUCCAGAAACUUGUUACCUGGAAGGCAUCGCUCCUCUCUCGGGGGGAGCAGCUCGCCCUAG
RNAcentral lists this ribosomal RNA (582 nucleotides) under Triticum aestivum (bread wheat). Its description in RNAcentral is "partial small subunit ribosomal RNA". The record is from RNAcentral. Lineage: Eukaryota; Viridiplantae; Streptophyta; Magnoliopsida; Poales; Poaceae.